AAUCAACGCUGGCGGCGUGCCUAACACAUGCAAGUCGAACGCGAGAGGGGCUUCGGCCCCGAUUGAGUGGCGAACGGGUGAGUAACGCGUGGGUGACCUACCUUCGAGUGGGGGAUAACGCCCCGAAAGGGACGCUAAUACCGCAUAACAUCCUGCUUUUGAAUGGGUGGAGAUCAAAGCCGGGGAUCGCAAGACCUGGCGCUUGAUGAGGGGCCCGCGUCUGAUUAGCUAGNGGUGAGGUAACGGCCCACCAAGGCAACGAUCAGUAUCCGGCCUGAGAGGGCGGACGGACACACUGGGACUGAGACACGGCCCAGACUCCUACGGGAGGCAGCAGUGGGGAAUUGUUCGCAAUGGGCGCAAGCCUGACGACGCAACGCCGCGUGGAGGAUGAAGGUCUUCGGAUUGUAAACUCCUGUUGCCCGGGACGAAUGGCUCCGACCUAACACGUCGGAGUGUGACGGUACCGGGUGAGGAAGCCCGGCUAACUCUGUGCCAGCCGCCGCAGUAAC
This 512-nucleotide ribosomal RNA is filed under the name uncultured bacterium. Its description in RNAcentral is "bacterial SSU rRNA". It matches the Rfam family "Bacterial small subunit ribosomal RNA", at positions 28 to 524 of the family's 1533-position model. The record is from RNAcentral.